Molecule: ribosomal RNA, 501 nt
Filed under: uncultured bacterium
Lineage: Bacteria
Description: partial 16S ribosomal RNA
Rfam family: Bacterial small subunit ribosomal RNA
Source: RNAcentral
AUUGAACGCUGGCGGCAGGCUUAACACAUGCAAGUCGAGCGGAGAUGAGGUGCUUGCACCUUAUCUUAGCGGCGGACGGGUGAGUAAUGCUUAGGAAUCUGCCUAUUAGUGGGGGACAACAUUCCGAAAGGAAUGCUAAUACCGCAUACGUCCUACGGGAGAAAGCAGGGGAUCUUCGGACCUUGCGCUAAUAGAUGAGCCUAAGUCGGAUUAGCUAGUUGGUGGGGUAAAGGCCUACCAAGGCGACGAUCUGUAGCGGGUCUGAGAGGAUGAUCCGGCACACUGAGACUGAGACACGGCCCAGACUCCUACGGGAGGCAGCAGUGGGGAAUAUUGGACAAUGGGGGAAACCCUGAUCUAGCCAUGCCGCGUGUGUGAAGAAGGCCUUAUGGUUGUAAAGCACUUUAAGCGAGGAGGAGGCUACUGAGACUAAUACUCUUGGAUAGUGGACGUUACUCGCAGAAUAAGCACCGGCUAACUCUGUGCCAGCAGCCGCGGUAA